CUUCAGGAGUGAAGCUGCAGACCUUCGCGUGAUGGAGGUUGAGAAGUCCAACUUCAAGGCACCACAUCUGGUGAGAGCCUUCAUUCCGAUGACAGCCUUCAUGCUGCAACCUGCAGCAGGAAAAUGGGCUUCAGUUUUCAAGUCUGCAGCUGAGUUGGGAAGUUGCGGACAGUAACCAGGAUCGCUGUCCUUAUAAGAAGUGGAAGAAACAUCAGAGAGCUCUCCCUCUCCACACACACAGAGGAAAGGCCACAUGGGGACAAGAGAGGGCAACUGUCUACAAAUCUGGAAGAGAGACUUCAGAAGAAACCAGCACUGAUGGCAUCUGAUCUUGGACUUCCAGCCUCUGGAUCUAUCUGCCAGAGCCUGAUCUCAUACACACUGAUGUGGUACAGGAAAUGCCACCUGAAAAUAUGGUACCUUGGCAUUUGAGGAAACAGUAGAAGGAGGUCAUAGAAACUAGAAAGAAUUCCUCCUUGCUCUUUGUCCCCCAAAGGAGCCAUAAAACCUGGGCCGAGUUUCUUCUGAAAAUAAGUUAUAAGAUCCUUAUUCCAGAGGGGUCCUGCCCUGUGCCUGGAGGAAAAGAAUGAAGACACAGAGAUGCCUUGAAGAAUCUGAACAAACAGCCCUUGCUAAGUUCCCCCCAGUUUAUUGACAUUAGAUUAGACCUUUUGUCCUCCAAUUAUACUUCUGUGUUCCUGAAAAUACACAUUUUCCCGUUUUUUCUUUUGUUUGCUUUUUUUGAUCUUCAUUUCUGAAGA
RNAcentral lists this long non-coding RNA (761 nucleotides) under Homo sapiens (human). RNAcentral describes it as "HSALNT0372300". The record is from RNAcentral. Lineage: Eukaryota; Metazoa; Chordata; Mammalia; Primates; Hominidae.